AGCGAACGCUGGCGGCAGGCUUAACACAUGCAAGUCGAACGGGCAUAGCAAUAUGUCAGUGGCAGACGGGUGAGUAACGCGUGGGAACUUACCUUUUGGUUCGGAACAACACAGGGAAACUUUUGCUAAUACCGGAUAAGCCCUUCCGGGGAAAGAUUUAUCGCCGAAAGAUCGGCCCGCGUCUGAUUAGCUAGUUGGUAGGGUAAUGGCCUACCAAGGCGACGAUCAGUAGCUGGUCUGAGAGGAUGAUCAGCCACAUUGGGACUGAGACACGGCCCAAACUCCUACGGGAGGCAGCAGUGGGGAAUAUUGGACAAUGGGCGAAAGCCUGAUCCAGCCAUGCCGCGUGAGUGAUGAAGGCCCUAGGGUUGUAAAGCUCUUUUGUGCGGGAAGAUAAUGACGGUACCGCAAGAAUAAGCCCCGGCUAACUUCGUG
This 435-nucleotide ribosomal RNA is filed under the name uncultured bacterium. Its description in RNAcentral is "partial 16S ribosomal RNA". It matches the Rfam family "Bacterial small subunit ribosomal RNA", at positions 29 to 507 of the family's 1533-position model. The record is from RNAcentral.